UGCCUACAGGGGAACUCGUCUCUUCCUUUAUCUGUCGGAAUGAUACCUAUUCGCGCUGGUGAUCCAUUUGCAGUAUAGAUUGUUGAGUGUGGAAGGAAUUUUAUUACGUAUUUCUUCAUUUGUUUGGAUAACAGUGCAAUAAAUGAUCAAACGAUGGAAAGAGAAAUCGAGUUUGUAAAUUCAAAUAAAUAUCAUGAAUGAGACGACGAAGGGUCUCAUGAACAUAAGUGAGGUCAAAUUAUAUCAAUUUCAAUAUUGCGAGAAAUUGAAGAAUGUUCAGAAGAAAGAUACGAAAAAAUAUUAUUUCUCAUAAAAUAAAUAAAAUUAUUCUAACCUUUAAAAAAAUUACUAAGAAAAGAGUAUGUAAUCCUUGAAAUGUUCUCUCACGAAUAAUAUCAUGAAAUC
Molecule: long non-coding RNA, 405 nt
Organism: Apis florea (little honeybee)
Lineage: Eukaryota; Metazoa; Arthropoda; Insecta; Hymenoptera; Apidae
Source: RefSeq, a predicted model, not a curated record